UCCCAUAGUAACAAGAAUCCCAGAGUGGGAUUCCUGAAGGAGGGUUUUUGCCCGAAAUGUCUGCUGCUCAGAUGCUGCCUGACGUGCUGUGCUCUUCCAGCAACACUCUGACCUAGACUGUGGUCCCAGCAUCUGCAAUCCUCACUCUCCUCCAUCCCACAGUAACAGCAAUCUCUUCAAACCCCUCACAUCUAUAUCACACCUUCACCCUGUCGCGGGGAAAUAGGCUACGAAGAACAUGGCAUAGUCGUUCGGCUCCGGGGAAGUACUGGACAAUGAAGGAUACCCUGUCUGUUGCCGCUUGUGUCUGUCUCCUGUGGAGGUCAUUACAGUUUCUCACUGUGGUUGGCUGCACCAAUCUGCAUCCUGGAGCAAUGGGCCCAACUCCAUCCUGACCCACAUUCAUUGCCUCUAUUACAAAAGUUAACUUACAAAUAUGGUGUUAUAUAAGUUAUACAUCUUUCGUCAGUGUAAUUACUCAGGAACUCACUGGCAUU
This is a long non-coding RNA of Hemiscyllium ocellatum (epaulette shark), 497 nucleotides long. RefSeq lists it as uncharacterized. The record is from RefSeq and is a predicted model, not a curated record. Lineage: Eukaryota; Metazoa; Chordata; Chondrichthyes; Orectolobiformes; Hemiscylliidae. The transcript has 3 exons.